Molecule: ribosomal RNA, 274 nt
Filed under: uncultured bacterium
Lineage: Bacteria
Description: partial 16S ribosomal RNA
Rfam family: Bacterial small subunit ribosomal RNA
Source: RNAcentral
AUACAGAGGGUGCGAGCGUUAAUCGGAUUUACUGGGCGUAAAGCGUGCGUAGGCGGCCAUUUAAGUCAAAUGUGAAAUCCCCGAGCUUAACUUGGGAAUUGCAUACGAUACUGGAUGGCUAGAGUAUGGGAGAGGAUGGUAGAAUUCCAGGUGUAGCGGUGAAAUGCGUAGAGAUCUGGAGGAAUACCGAUGGCGAAGGCAGCCAUCUGGCCUAAUACUGACGCUGAGGUACGAAAGCAUGGGGAGCAAACAGGAUUAGAAACCCUAGUAGUCC